RNAcentral lists this ribosomal RNA (489 nucleotides) under Salmonella enterica. RNAcentral describes it as "bacterial SSU rRNA". It matches the Rfam family "Bacterial small subunit ribosomal RNA", at positions 27 to 505 of the family's 1533-position model. Lineage: Bacteria; Pseudomonadati; Pseudomonadota; Gammaproteobacteria; Enterobacterales; Enterobacteriaceae. The record is from RNAcentral. RNAcentral also lists the same sequence under 1 other name.
GAUUGAACGCUGGCGGCAGGCCUAACACAUGCAAGUCGAACGGUAACAGGAAGCAGCUUGCUGCUUUGCUGACGAGUGGCGGACGGGUGAGUAAUGUCUGGGAAACUGCCUGAUGGAGGGGGAUAACUACUGGAAACGGUGGCUAAUACCGCAUAACGUCGCAAGACCAAAGAGGGGGACCUUCGGGCCUCUUGCCAUCAGAUGUGCCCAGAUGGGAUUAGCUAGUUGGUGAGGUAACGGCUCACCAAGGCGACGAUCCCUAGCUGGUCUGAGAGGAUGACCAGCCACACUGGAACUGAGACACGGUCCAGACUCCUACGGGAGGCAGCAGUGGGGAAUAUUGCACAAUGGGCGCAAGCCUGAUGCAGCCAUGCCGCGUGUAUGAAGAAGGCCUUCGGGUUGUAAAGUACUUUCAGCGGGGAGGAAGGUGUUGUGGUUAAUAACCACAGCAAUUGACGUUACCCGCAGAAGAAGCACCGGCUAACUCCG